Oncorhynchus keta (chum salmon) is the source of this 2040-nucleotide long non-coding RNA. RefSeq lists it as uncharacterized. NCBI's taxonomy places the organism in Eukaryota, Metazoa, Chordata, Actinopteri, Salmoniformes, Salmonidae. The transcript is spliced from 8 exons. The record is from RefSeq and is a predicted model, not a curated record.
GUGGAGACACAGAGAUAGAAAGAGAGGUGGAGACAGAGAUAGAAAGAGAGGUGGAGACACAGAGAUGGAAAGAGAGGUGGAGACACAGAGAUAGAAAGAGAGGUGGAGACAGAGAUGGAAAGAGAGGUGGAGACAGAGAUGGAAAGAGAGGUGGAGACACAGAGAUGGAAAGAGAGGUGGAGACACAGAGAUGGAAAGAGAGGUGGAGACACAGAGAUGGAAAGAGAGGUGGAGACACAGAGAUAGAAAGAGAGGUGGAGACACAGAGAUGGAAAGAGAGGUGGAGACACAGAGAUGGAAAGAGAGGUGGAGACACAGAGAUGGAAAGAGAGGUGGAGACACAGAGAUAGAAAGAGAGGUGGAGACACAGAGAUGGAAAGAGAGGUGGAGACAGAGAUGGAAAGAGAGGUGGAGACACAGAGAUGGAAAGAGAGGCGGAGACACAGAGAUAGAAAGAGAGGUGGAGACAGAGAUGGAAAGAGAGGUGGAGACACAGAGAUAGAAAGAGAGGUGGAGACACAGAGAUAGAAAGAGAGGUGGAGACAGAGAUGGAAAGAGAGGUGGAGACAGAGAUGGAAAGAGAGGUGGAGACAGAGAUGGAAAGAGAGGUGGAGACAGAGAUGGAAAGAGAGGUGGAGACACAGAGAUAGAAAGAGAGGUGGAGACACAGAGAUAGAAAGAGAGGUGGAGACACAGAGAUGGAAAGAGAGGUGGAGACAGAGAUGGAAAGAGAGGUGGAGACACAGAGAUGGAAAGAGAGGUGGAGACACAGAAAUAGGAAGAGAGGUGGAGACACAGAGAUGGAAAGAGAGGUGGAGACACAGAAAUAGGAAGAGAGGUGGAGACACAGAAAUAGGAAGAGAGGUGGAGACACAGAAAUAGGAAGAGAGGUGGAGACAGAGAUGAAUGAGCAGAAAAAGAGAAGGAGAAUAUAUGGAGAGAAACAGAGAUGGUGUUACAGAUGAAGGAAUGUGGUGAGUUCUGAGUAGUCUAGCUUUACCCACAACGAUAACCUCUUAUAAAUCGUCAAAAAUCCUAAACCAAGCCAAACACCUAAACCAAGCCACUAAACACCCUAUCUAGACUAAAACUAGAGAACACACCUUGGAAUACUUCUCUUCCUGGAACUCUGGUCAUAAAAUAACACAACAUAUAAUCUGGUGUCGAUUCUUCUGAAUUUUAGCUGAAGAUAGACACCUAGAACAGAAAUGUUUAAGGGAAAACAUCCAUGGACUCCAGUGCAUGAUUCAGCCUAGGUUUUUGUGCAUUUCUCCAGUAAGGUUUCUGCCAUGUGUGUACCCCAGACUGGGGCCUUUGAGACAGACCACUGCAAACCCCAAGCAUGAGCCUGGACUUGCACUGAGAUGACUGACUGUAAUGUCCUGGCCACAUGUUUUAGCGUAGGUUAGGGACAGAUCAACAUUAGCUGGGGAGAGUUGUCAAACUUUUUUUUUUUUGCUUUGGGGAGUGUUGUGGGGUAUUUUAUUGGGCACAUGGGAGGGCAGUGCCAGGUUUAUAUUCAUUUUUUUUGCAGGUUUUAAUUUCUACUUUCUUCCAUCCUAUUCAAAUGUCCUAAUCUGCGUGCAGGCUCCUCCCAUAUAUCAAGGUGUUCUGGUACUUCCCUUAUGCACUACGCUUUUCAGUGCGGUAACUUUUAAUAUACCACAGAUCAAUAUAGUCUACCAAUCUAACUGUCUAUCCUGUCACUUUAUCUACCAUUCAUAGUGACAAUAUAGUCUACCAGUCUAACUGUCUAUCCUACCCUCUAUCCACCAUUCAUAGUGACAAUAGUGGUAGGUGGAUUGUUUGUCUAGAUCUGCAAUAGGCUAACUAGCAUCAUACCACACAUAACAGCAUUCAAUGCUGCAUACAUUUUCAAUAGUAAUCCACAAGAACCAAUAGGAAUAGCUGAUAGAUAGUGGAGAGGCCAGGUGCAUCAUAGCAGCAUGAAAGAACAGUGAAGACAUGAGACCUUGCAGCUCAAAACGCUCCCCUAUUGAUCUUGUUUAGGGACAAUACAAUUAUCCUAACUGGACUAUA